UGGGGAAUUUUGGACAAUGGGCGCAAGCCCGAUCCAGCAAUGCCGCGUGCAGGAUGAAGGCCUUCGGGUUGUAAACUGCUUUGUACGGAGCGAAAAGGUCUGCCCUAAUACGGUGGGCUCAUGACGGUACCGUAAGAAUAAGCACCGGCUAACUACGUGCCAGCAGCCGCGGUAAUACGUAGGGUGCGAGCGUUAAUCGGAAUUACUGGGCGUAAAGCGUGCGCAGGCGGUUAUAUAAGACAGAUGUGAAAUCCCCGGGCUCAACCUGGGACCUGCCUUUGUGACUGCAUAGCUAGAGUACGGUAGAGGGGGAUGGAAUUCCGCGUGUAGCAGUGAAAUGCGUAGAUAUGCGGAGGAACACCGAUGGCGAAGGCAAUCCCCUGGACCUGUACUGACGCUCAUGCACGAAAGCGUGGGGAGCAAACA
RNAcentral lists this ribosomal RNA (426 nucleotides) under uncultured bacterium. RNAcentral's name for it is "bacterial SSU rRNA". It matches the Rfam family "Bacterial small subunit ribosomal RNA", at positions 355 to 774 of the family's 1533-position model. The record is from RNAcentral.